CCAAUAGCGUAUAUUAAAGUUGUUGCAGUUAAAAAGCUCGUAGUUGAACUUCGGGGUUUACCCAUUGGUCAGGCUUAAUUGUCUGUACUGGUGAGAUGAAUCUCUACCUUCUGAGGAACUUUCAUGCCAUUUAUUUGGUGUGAUUGGAAAUCAGGACUGUUACUUUGAAAAAAUUAGAGUGUUUAAAGCAGGCUAACGUCUGAAUACAUUAGCAUGGAAUAAUGAAAUAGGACGGACUGAUUCUAUUUCGUUGGUUUCUAGGAUCGAUGUAAUGAUUAAUAGGGAUAGUUGGGGGCAUUAGUAUUCAAUUGUCAGAGGUGAAAUUCUUGGAUUUAUUGAAGACUAACUACUGCGAAAGCAUUUGCCAAGGAUGUUUUCAUUAAUCAAGAACGAAAGUUAGGGGAUCGAAGACGAUCAGAUACCGUCGUAGUCUUAACCAUAAACUAUGCCGACUAGGGAUCGGAUGAUGUUAAUUUUAUAAUGACUCAUUCGGCGCCUUACG
RNAcentral lists this ribosomal RNA (502 nucleotides) under uncultured Glomeromycotina. RNAcentral's name for it is "partial small subunit ribosomal RNA". It matches the Rfam family "Eukaryotic small subunit ribosomal RNA", at positions 591 to 1092 of the family's 1831-position model. The record is from RNAcentral. Lineage: Eukaryota; Fungi; Glomeromycota.